UAUUUUUAAUUGACAUAGACCAAGUCAUCUAGUAAAAUGAGGAUGAUGCAUCGGGAAUAGCCGGGAUAGCUCAGCUGGUAGAGCA
Molecule: transfer RNA, 85 nt
Filed under: Clematicissus opaca
Lineage: Eukaryota; Viridiplantae; Streptophyta; Magnoliopsida; Vitales; Vitaceae
Also listed under: 2 other names
Description: tRNA-Phe
Source: RNAcentral